GGCAGAACCCAGAUUUAAACCUGCGCCCAGAGCAUUGAAGGAAGCUUGGGUUGAUUCCUGCCAGACCUGAACAAUCUUGUACCUCAGCAUCCAGCCUUUAUAUGUUUUCAAGCCGGGCACAGCACAAGCUGAUUAGUUAGAGUCUAUCAAGGUGCUGACAAUAAAGGACUUUGCUGGGGUUUUGUGUCUGCCUGACUCAACCAUUCUCAGCAUGUUUUUUUUUCCAGAAAGAGGCUGAAAGAGGAGAAACAUCAUAGCACUACUACACUGAUGAUGAAGCUUGCCCUUUGCAUGGUGCUCCCAUGUGGUGGCUGAGGACACUAACCUGGGUCCUCAAGUA
Erinaceus europaeus (western European hedgehog) is the source of this 340-nucleotide long non-coding RNA. RefSeq lists it as uncharacterized. The transcript is spliced from 3 exons. NCBI's taxonomy places the organism in Eukaryota, Metazoa, Chordata, Mammalia, Eulipotyphla, Erinaceidae. The record is from RefSeq and is a predicted model, not a curated record.